RNAcentral lists this long non-coding RNA (474 nucleotides) under Homo sapiens (human). RNAcentral's name for it is "HSALNT0350339". Lineage: Eukaryota; Metazoa; Chordata; Mammalia; Primates; Hominidae. The record is from RNAcentral.
AAAUCACCUGAAUAAAUGCACAAGCGCUCACUGCAAGACCCCAUGCUAUACAAGGCACUGAGGGAAAGGAAGCAACAUUAUUCUUUCAGGGACUGCUAGGAUUAAAAGAAACUUUUAAGGCGAAUCUCCUCUUUUACUGAAGAGAAAACUAAGUGCUAGAUGCAUUGGGCAUUUGCUGCAUGUGGAGUCAAAUUGGCCAGAGUUUGAACCAUGGUCCUGCCACUUCCUGAUAAUGGCACCUCAGGUAUCUGGGCUGCUGACCCAAUAAAAUGGAGCCCCUGUGACCUGCUUUCAGGGCUUUCACAACUGGUCCCGCAUGACGACCCUGCCUGACAACCCCAACUUGGCUUCAGCCUUCCUCUUGCUGGAUGACUUCAGCAAGUCAGACACUCUCCAUGCAUGUGCCUUCUCGUUUAUAAAACAAAGACAGGAUUAUUGUGAGAAUCAAAUAAAAUAAUGGAUAUAAGCAUUUGU